RNAcentral lists this ribosomal RNA (493 nucleotides) under uncultured bacterium. RNAcentral's name for it is "partial 16S ribosomal RNA". It matches the Rfam family "Bacterial small subunit ribosomal RNA", at positions 30 to 523 of the family's 1533-position model. The record is from RNAcentral.
AUUGAACGCUGGCGGCAUGCUUUACACAUGCAAGUCGAACGGUAACAGGUUAAGCUGACGAGUGGCGAACGGGUGAGUAAUGCAUCGGAACGUGCCCGGUCGUGGGGGAUAACGCAGCGAAAGCUGCGCUAAUACCGCAUACGAUCUGAGGAUGAAAGCGGGGGACCGUAAGGCCUCGCGCGAUCGGAGCGGCCGAUGUCAGAUUAGGUAGUUGGUGGGGUAAAGGCCCACCAAGCCGACGAUCUGUAGCUGGUCUGAGAGGACGACCAGCCACACUGGGACUGAGACACGGCCCAGACUCCUACGGGAGGCAGCAGUGGGGAAUUUUGGACAAUGGGCGAAAGCCUGAUCCAGCAAUGCCGCGUGCAGGAAGAAGGCCUUCGGGUUGUAAACUGCUUUUGUACGGAGCGAAAAGGUCCUUUCUAAUACAAGGGGCUCAUGACGGUACCGUAAGAAUAAGCACCGACUAACUACGUGCCAGCAGCCGCCGUAA